RNAcentral lists this ribosomal RNA (253 nucleotides) under uncultured bacterium. RNAcentral's name for it is "partial 16S ribosomal RNA". It matches the Rfam family "Bacterial small subunit ribosomal RNA", at positions 524 to 776 of the family's 1533-position model. The record is from RNAcentral.
UACGGAGGGUGCGAGCGUUGUCCGGAAUCACUGGGCGUAAAGGGCGCGUAGGCGGCGUGCCAAGCGUGUGGUGAAAGUCCAGGGCUCAACCCUGGGAUGCCGGUGGAUACUGUCGGGCUAGAGUACGGAAGAGGCGAGUGGAAUUCCCGGUGUAGCGGUGAAAUGCGCAGAUAUCGGGAGGAACACCAAUUGCGAAGGCAGCUCGCUGGGACGUCACUGACGCUGAGACGCGAAAGCGUGGGGAGCAAACAGG